This 77-nucleotide transfer RNA is filed under the name Rhodospirillaceae bacterium. RNAcentral describes it as "tRNA-Met". It matches the Rfam family "tRNA". Rfam says of the family: Transfer RNA (tRNA) molecules are approximately 80 nucleotides in length. Their secondary structure includes four short double-helical elements and three loops (D, anti-codon, and T loops). Lineage: Bacteria; Pseudomonadati; Pseudomonadota; Alphaproteobacteria; Rhodospirillales; Rhodospirillaceae. The record is from RNAcentral.
GACGGAGUAGCUCAGGUGGUUAGAGCAGCGGAAUCAUAAUCCGCGUGUCGGGGGUUCAAGUCCCUCCUCCGCUACCA